Molecule: ribosomal RNA, 906 nt
Filed under: Chloromyxum fluviatile
Lineage: Eukaryota; Metazoa; Cnidaria; Myxozoa; Bivalvulida; Chloromyxidae
Description: eukaryotic LSU rRNA
Rfam family: Eukaryotic large subunit ribosomal RNA
Source: RNAcentral
ACCCGCUGAACUUAAGCAUAUUACUAAAGGCAGGACAAGAAAAUAACAAUGAUUCCCCCAGUAACUGCGAGUGAAGUGGGAAAAGCCCAACGUUGAAAGCUGUGACUCUAACGGGUCAUCGCAUUGUAACGUAUAGAUUUGUUCUCAAGGCAGUUGCCUACAUCAAAGUUACAUAGAAUAGUACACCAGAGAGGGUGGUAGUCCCGUGAGUGAUGUAGGUUACAAAACUGUCGAGUAGACAAACUCUAAGAGUCGAGUUGUUUGGGAUUGCAGCUCAAAUUGGGUGGUAAACUCCAUCUAAGGCUAAAUACAGACACGAGACCGAUAGCGAACAAGUACCGUGAGGGAAAGUUGAAAAGUACUCUGAAAAGAGAGUGAAAAGUACGUGAAACCGUUAAUGGGGAAGCAGACAGUGGAAUCGAAGCUGUGUCCUCAUUGUGUGUUACGGUGUGGCAACUGUUGUUGUCACUUGUGGUGCAUGUAUUGUGGUGCAUAGCGCGCUGGGCCCAUCGUUCAAACAUAGCAUCCCUUAAGAAAGGAUGUGGGUCGACUUGUGAUGCAGCCAUAUGAUAGUGUUGUGUGGAUUCGCGUUCAUUUGAUCGUUGUGUGGUGCAUUGCAUAAGUUGUAAGAUCAAUAGGAGCGAUGUGGUGGACAUUUGUGCGGUGCCAGUAAUGGACAAUGUAUUGGUGUGCGAUAGGAACAACAGCAGUCUUCUGAUUGUUGGAUCAUGUGUGUUGGUUGCAUUGAUUUGCAUGCACAUCUGCAAGGGUGUGUGUGUGAAGGUGUGACUACGCAUGGUUGUGAGUGUUGUGUGCGAGUGCAUUGUCGAUUGCACACGUGUCGGUAGUGGUGCAUAUCCCAGCGAGAUAUGGUACUGUCUGACCCGUCUUGAAACACGGACCAAG